RNAcentral lists this ribosomal RNA (778 nucleotides) under uncultured bacterium. RNAcentral's name for it is "bacterial SSU rRNA". It matches the Rfam family "Bacterial small subunit ribosomal RNA", at positions 1 to 799 of the family's 1533-position model. The record is from RNAcentral.
UUCAUCGCCAAUCGCCUUGAGUUGAUCAUGGCUCAGAACGAACGUUGGCGGCGUGGAUUAGGCAUGCAAGUCGGGGGAAUCUCCCGCAAGGGAGGGAACCGGCGUAAGGGGCAGUAAUGUGUGGGUACCUACCGCGGGGUUCGGGAUAGCCAUCAGAGAUGGUGGGUAAUACCGGAUGACGUCGUGAGACCAAAGAUUUAUCGCCCUGUGAGGGGCCCACAUGAUAUUAGCUAGUUGGUGAGGUAAUGGCUCACCAAGGCUAAGAUGUCUAGCGGGUGUGAGAGCACGACCCGCGCCACUCGCACUGAGACACUGGCGAGACACCUACGGGUGGCUGCAGUCGAGGAUCUUCGGCAAUGAGCGCAAGCUUGACCGAGCGACGCCGCGUGAGCGAUGAAGGCCUUCGGGUUGUAAAGCUCUUUAGUGGGGGAGAAAAGCCCGCAAGGGUGUGAUCUAUCCCAAAAAUAAGCACGGGCUAAGUUCGUGCCAGCAGCCGCGGUAAGACGAACCGUGCGAACGUUGUUCGGAAUCACUGGGCUUAAAGGGCGCGUAGGCGGGCUGUCCAGUCUGGGGUGAAAUCCCGCGGCUCAACCGUGGAACUGCCUCAGAUACUGACGGCCUCGAGGGAGAUAGGGGCAUGCGGAACUGUAGGUGGAGCGGUGAAAUGCGUUGAUAUCUACAGGAACUCCGGUGGCGAAGGCGGCGUGCUGGAUCUCUUCUGACGCUGAGGCGCGAAAGCUAGGGGAGCAAACGGGAUUAGAUACCCCGGUAGUCCUAA